This 301-nucleotide ribosomal RNA is filed under the name uncultured bacterium. RNAcentral describes it as "bacterial SSU rRNA". It matches the Rfam family "Bacterial small subunit ribosomal RNA", at positions 28 to 334 of the family's 1533-position model. The record is from RNAcentral.
GAUUAACGCUGGCGGCAUGCCUAAUACAUGCAAAUCGAACGAAGCCUUUUGGCUUAGUGGUGAACGGGUGAGUAACACGUAUCCAAUCUACCCUUAAGUUUGGGAUAACUAGUCGAAAGAUUAGCUAAUACCGGAUAAUAACAUUCACUUGCAUGAGUGAAUGUGGAAAGUUGCGUUUGCAACGCUUUUGGAUGAGGGUGCGACGUAUCAGAUAGUUGGUAAGGUAGCGGCUUACCAAGGCGAUGAUAGGUAGCCGGCCUGAGAGGGUGGACGGCCACAAGGGGACUGAGAUACGGCCCUU